This 1446-nucleotide ribosomal RNA is filed under the name uncultured organism. RNAcentral's name for it is "SSU rRNA". It matches the Rfam family "Bacterial small subunit ribosomal RNA". The record is from RNAcentral.
GAUGAACGCUAGCGACAGGCUUAACACAUGCAAGUCGAGGGGCAGCACAGGUAGCAAUACCGGGUGGCGACCGGCGCACGGGUGAGUAACGCGUAUGCAACUUGCCUAUCAGAGGGGGAUAACCCGGCGAAAGUCGGACUAAUACCGCAUGAAGCAGGGGCCCCGCAUGGGGAUAUUUGCUAAAGAUUCAUCGCUGAUAGAUAGGCAUGCGUUCCAUUAGGCAGUUGGCGGGGUAACGGCCCACCAAACCGACGAUGGAUAGGGGUUCUGAGAGGAAGGUCCCCCACAUUGGUACUGAGACACGGACCAAACUCCUACGGGAGGCAGCAGUGAGGAAUAUUGGUCAAUGGGCGUAAGCCUGAACCAGCCAAGUCGCGUGAGGGAUGAAGGUUCUAUGGAUCGUAAACCUCUUUUAUAAGGGAAUAAAGUGCGGGACGUGUCCCGUUUUGUAUGUACCUUAUGAAUAAGGAUCGGCUAACUCCGUGCCAGCAGCCGCGGUAAUACGGAGGAUCCGAGCGUUAUCCGGAUUUAUUGGGUUUAAAGGGUGCGUAGGCGGCCUUUUAAGUCAGCGGUGAAAGUCUGUGGCUCAACCAUAGAAUUGCCGUUGAAACUGGGGGGCUUGAGUAUGUUUGAGGCAGGCGGAAUGCGUGGUGUAGCGGUGAAAUGCAUAGAUAUCACGCAGAACCCCGAUUGCGAAGGCAGCCUGCCAAGCCAUUACUGACGCUGAUGCACGAAAGCGUGGGGAUCAAACAGGAUUAGAUACCCUGGUAGUCCACGCAGUAAACGAUGAUCACUAGCUGUUUGCGAUACACUGUAAGCGGCACAGCGAAAGCGUUAAGUGAUCCACCUGGGGAGUACGCCGGCAACGGUGAAACUCAAAGGAAUUGACGGGGGCCCGCACAAGCGGAGGAACAUGUGGUUUAAUUCGAUGAUACGCGAGGAACCUUACCCGGGUUUGAACGCAUUCGGACCGAGGUGGAAACACCUUUUCUAGCAAUAGCCGUUUGCGAGGUGCUGCAUGGUUGUCGUCAGCUCGUGCCGUGAGGUGUCGGCUUAAGUGCCAUAACGAGCGCAACCCUUGCCACUAGUUACUAACAGGUAAAGCUGAGGACUCUGGUGGGACUGCCAGCGUAAGCUGCGAGGAAGGCGGGGAUGACGUCAAAUCAGCACGGCCCUUACAUCCGGGGCGACACACGUGUUACAAUGGCGUGGACAAAGGGAAGCCACCUGGCGACAGGGAGCGAAUCCCCAAACCACGUCUCAGUUCGGAUCGGAGUCUGCAACCCGACUCCGUGAAGCUGGAUUCGCUAGUAAUCGCGCAUCAGCCAUGGCGCGGUGAAUACGUUCCCGGGCCUUGUACACACCGCCCGUCAAGCCAUGGGAGCCGGGGGUACCUGAAGUCCGUAACCGCGAGGAUCGGCCUAGGGUAAAACUGGUGACUGGGGC